Molecule: ribosomal RNA, 1413 nt
Filed under: Triticum aestivum (bread wheat)
Lineage: Eukaryota; Viridiplantae; Streptophyta; Magnoliopsida; Poales; Poaceae
Description: partial small subunit ribosomal RNA
Source: RNAcentral
AUGAGAGUCGGCGUCGGCGGGAGCGCGGGCGCGGUGUUCUACGCGGACAAGUACCACCCGAUCCAGGCGGGCAGCAUCGACGGCACGGACGUCGCCCCCCACGACAACGCCGUCCUCCGCGCCCUCCUCUGCUCCACCGCCGGCCUCUAUGAUCCGUUCGGGGACCCCAAGGCCGCCGGCGACCCCUACUGCACGGUCUUCGUCGGGCACCUCUCCCGCCUCACCGACGACGAGACGGUCCGGAAGGCCAUGGGAAGGUACGGGAAAGUGAAGAGCAUGCGGCUGGUGCGGGAUAUUGUUACUGGUGCUUCCCGCGGUUAUGCAUUUGUAGAGUAUGAAACAGACAAAGAGAUGCGCCGUGCCUAUGAGGAUGCACACCACUCAAUUAUUGAUGGCAAUGAAGUGAUCGUAGACUACUAUAGGCAGCAACUUAUGCCUGGAUGGAUACCAAGGAGGCUAGGAGGAGGACUUGGAGGGAAGAAAGAGUCUGGCCAGCUUCGAUUUGGAGGUCGAGAGAGGCCAUUUCGUGCUCCCUUGCGGCCUAUUCCUCAUGAUGAACUCAAAAAGCUCGGGAUCCAACCGCCGCCUGAGGGGCGGUAUAUGACACGUUUUGAGGUUCCCCCACCACCUAGACGAAAAGGAGGCAAUGUUGACAGGGAAGAGUCGCCAUCUCCUAGGAGAAUAUCCAAGGACAGGGCUGAUGGCACCUACAGAAGGCAGAGAAGUCCAACUGAAGACGAAGGCAGCCCGCGCAGGCGCAAAAGCAGCCAUGACCACAGGGAAGAUACGCAAAGGAGGAUAAGGUCAUCUAGGGAGGCAAGCACCUACAGCAGGCAGAGAAGCCCAACUGGAGACGGCGGCGACCAUCACAAGCAAAAAGGCCACCGAGAGCAGGGCGAUAUCAGCAGCUAUGAUAGGCAUGUAAGCCCAGCCGAAGACGACGGCGGUCAUCACCGCAAGCGAAGAAGAAGCCGAGAGCCUGGGGAUAUCAGGAGGAGCCAUAGUAGGCGGAGAAGCCCAACCGAAGACGACGCCGAUCGCCACAAGCGAAGGAAAAGCCGAGAGGCUGGAGAUACCAGCAGCCACAGCAGGCACAGAAGCCCAGCCGAAUACGACGGUGGCGGUCAUCGCAAGCGGAGGAAGAGCCGAGAGCCGGGAGAGGUGUCUCCUGGCACGGAGGAUGGCAGUUUCAGAAGAGGAGGAACCUCCACCGAAGCCGGCCCCAGCCCUCGCCGUCGAUCUCAUCGGGAGCAGAGGCAUCACGGCGGCAGCAGCCGUUCCCGCCACGGUGACCAUGCUCGCUCCAGGAGAUCCGAGAGCCGAGAUUAUAGCCAGCUCUGUUCGGUUGUCGGGUGUUUGUCUUGCCAGGCGACACCGCUCGCCGUAUGUGUAGGAUCCACGGUUUGUUCCUGA